CAUCAACAUCUAAAACCUCAUAUUCCUUUCUAAUGUUAAAACCAUCCACAUCAUGAGACCCCCUUUUCAGUAUCCUUUUCUCCUAUUCUCAUAAUCAACUCUAUCACACUCAUCAAUUUUUAAAGUUUUUAAUUUUUAACAUACUUAAACAUAGAACCCACAACAUAUUUUACCAAUUAUAUUUCUUUUUAUGUUUUUCGGAUCAUGUUUGACAUUUUAUUUUUCUUGUUGAAGAUCCUAAAAUUGACAUGUAUAAAAUAAUAUUUUAGCAUCAUAAAUAUUUUAAUUACAAACAUAAUUAUUAUCAUGAGGAUUUUACUUAUAGAGUUUGAUAGUAUCAUAUGAGUUAUGUUAGAUAAAGCUAAUAAUUGUAUAUAACAAAAUUAUUGUAUAGUCUUAGAGUUUAAUAUCUUGAUAAUACACUUUUUCUCUCCCCACUUUGUAUUC
RNAcentral lists this long non-coding RNA (447 nucleotides) under Brassica napus (rape). RNAcentral describes it as "long non-coding RNA (BNAP_LNC020623)". The record is from RNAcentral. Lineage: Eukaryota; Viridiplantae; Streptophyta; Magnoliopsida; Brassicales; Brassicaceae.